Vigna unguiculata (cowpea) is the source of this 1479-nucleotide long non-coding RNA. Lineage: Eukaryota; Viridiplantae; Streptophyta; Magnoliopsida; Fabales; Fabaceae. The record is from RefSeq and is a predicted model, not a curated record.
CAUUCCUUUCAUUUCUAAUAUUUUUUAACUUGCUGAUGAACUCUUUCUUUCCUCUCUAAGAAUGAGUUGACCGUGAGUUGAAAAUUUGAGAACAUGAGUUCACUGACAAAUUAGAAGCGAAAAGAUGAAAGUAAUAGUUAUAUCAUUUUGUUGACGGUAAUAUUAAAUUAUAAGAUACGAAGAUAAAAAUAAAAAAUAUUUUUAACAUUCAUUUGAAGAAAUUUUUUAUAGAAGUUGCAAGAUUCAAUGUUGUUGUUCCUUGGCUAUAUGAUCAAUGGCAGCUUCGUCUACCAAGCAAACCCAGAUCAAGCAUACAACCACACUACAACCGUUGCAUUAACUCCACAAGCUGCAAUAACAUCUUAAAAAGCUUAUAACAGAAGAAAAGGAAAGAAAGAGAUAGGAUAAAGCUUGUACUGAGAAUACGUGGAUCACGAAGCCUCACAGUAGGAAGAAGAGUCAAUGCUGUCAAUAUUUUCAAACAAUGUGUGCAUUCACUUCAAUUCCACCCAAAAAUCAAUUACAAAAGCCUAACUAUACCGAUCGUACGAGAUUAACCCAUGAUGUCAUAAAAAAGCAAAACAUUAUUAACUCCUAACAAAACGAAGGACGAAACAAAAAACUAAGGAUCAUCAGGUUCAGAGGUAGCUCGAGCAAUGUUCUCUUGAUCGGCAGAAGGAGAAAGUCUUUGAUCUUCGGCAUGCUCCUCCGCCUGCAGAUCCCGCAUGUGUAUCAACUUCCCCUUGUGAAGCAUUAUUAUUGCCCAUGCAGAGGUCGGUUCCAAAAACACCGUCUGCGGUCCCGGCGACCUCGUUUGGGAAAGUGGGCAAAAGGGGAGGGCUCACGAUGUCUCUAUUUGCCUUUCUUCCUCCGAGUGGCAUCCUCACGAUCGGAAGUGAAUACAGUAGUGGUGGUGGGAGGGAUGUUGAGAACCUGGACUGGAUUAGCAGCCGCCUCGCCAGCAACCCCGGUCGACACGCCUUCCGCGGUACGCCGCCUCAAUGGGUCAUCCCAGAGCCGCUCACUCCAGCCUUUCCCGCCUGCUGCUUCGCCUGGUGUUUCUCCAGCAACUUUCUCAUGAAAUGAACAUCCUUUGGCGUUGUGCGGGCCAUGGUAUCAGUAUACUUACCACCAUUAAGCACAGCUUGUCGAAAAGUGCAUUGGCCAGAUUCAUCAAGCAAAAUGCCAAAAUGAGAGAAUGAAGAAAUAGAUAUUCAACCAGCAAGGGUGAUGAACAAAAAGUUUGAUUCUGUCAUCACUUUUUACUACUUCAGACAGUAAAAUGGUCCACACAAAACUGAUUUCUUAAAAAACAAUGUUUUAAGUUGUGUCUUUCAUUAGUUCCCCAAAAGAGCUUUUGUAACAGAAGUUAUUAUUUGAGGGUAGAAAAAUGAUGUGACAUGUUUGUAAAAGACAAACUCUAAGCUAUGUGUGCUUGCACUUUUUCCUAAAUUCAACAAGGAUAAUGAUAUAUGGAGA